This 827-nucleotide long non-coding RNA is filed under the name Homo sapiens (human). Its description in RNAcentral is "non-protein coding lnc-OLFM1-2:1". Lineage: Eukaryota; Metazoa; Chordata; Mammalia; Primates; Hominidae. The record is from RNAcentral.
AGAUCACAGUGGUAACACCAAGGACAGAGGGGGAGAUGGGCACAGGCGCUGCGGCCCGACCCUCAUGAGAUCACAGCGGUAACACCAAGGACAGAGGGGGCGAUGGGCACAGGUGCCAUGAUCCGACCCUCAUGAGAUCACAGUGGUAACACCAAGGACAGAGGGGGAGAUGGGCACAGGCACUGCGGCCCGAUCCUCAUGAGAAGUGGCGCAGUGUUACGUGAAGGACGACUAUGUGUGGAUGUGGCUCUGACAGGCUCCUCGUGGAGCAGAGAUAACCAGCUCUCACAAGUCUUCAUCCUCCUGCCGCCGGGACCUUGGGGGGUCAGAACAGAGCAGGAGCUGCGGGAGAUCAAGGUGCCCACUGGUUCCAGAUUUUGUCAUGCCGCAUUCCUUAGAAAAGGCAAGUUUCGGACGAAGGAAAAGGCCACACGUGGACACAAGGUUCUCUGUUUAUCAUGAACGACCGAGAAGACGGGAGCAAGAAUGGUUCUGUGGGUUUGGAAAUCGAUGGUUCUGUUUGUGAAGAAGUAGGAAAAUUGCCUGUUACCCUAAGAAGUCUACGGGCCGUGGUCAGAGCUUUAGGCUCCUGAUUCCCCACUCGGGUUGAGGUCACCGCUCACCUCUGCAGGUGCAGGCAGGAGAGAGGCAGUGAGUGGGUACAACCGGGCUGUGAAUUUGCUGAGGGAGGCAUUAUAAUGACGGCUCACAAAUCCAGGCUGGGACCACAUCAAGGAUUAUGGCGGGAGUGGGGUUGAGAGCUGAGCUAGGUGCUUAAUUACCGAGGAGGGCAAUGUGUGUUCCCUCCCCUUCCCCCCAGACAGCAG